RNAcentral lists this ribosomal RNA (486 nucleotides) under uncultured bacterium. RNAcentral's name for it is "SSU rRNA". It matches the Rfam family "Bacterial small subunit ribosomal RNA", at positions 26 to 524 of the family's 1533-position model. The record is from RNAcentral.
AGGACGAACGCUGGCGGCGUGCCUAACACAUGCAAGUCGAACGAGGUCCAUCCGGUAGCAAUACUGGUGAAGAUCAAGUGGCGAACGGGUGAGUAGCACGUGAGCAACCUGCCCCGAAGACCGGGACAACACCGGGAAACCGGUGCUAAUACCGGAUAUCCCCACCGAGUCGCAUGGCUUGGUGAGGAAAUGGAUUCCGCUUCGGGAGGGGCUCGCGGCCUAUCAGCUUGUUGGUGAGGUAAUGGCUCACCAAGGCUUCGACGGGUAGCUGGUCUGAGAGGACGAUCAGCCACACUGGGACUGAGACACGGCCCAGACUCCUACGGGAGGCAGCAGUGGGGAAUCUUGCACAAUGGGCGAAAGCCUGAUGCAGCAACGCCGCGUGAGGGACGAAGGCUUUCUGAGUUGUAAACCUCUUUCAGCAGGGACGAUUGUGACGGUACCUGCAGAGAAGCCCGGCAACUACGUGCCAGCAGCCGCGGUAAU